Molecule: long non-coding RNA, 1104 nt
Organism: Phyllopteryx taeniolatus (common seadragon)
Lineage: Eukaryota; Metazoa; Chordata; Actinopteri; Syngnathiformes; Syngnathidae
Exons: 2
Source: RefSeq, a predicted model, not a curated record
GUAUACAGCUUGACUCGGGCGAGCCUCCGCGCUCUUCCCGGGUCAACGCACCCCCCUUUGCAGCCAAAAGCAUCUUGGAACUUCCGAGCACGGAGCGAGCGAAGGCGUUUUCAACUCCAAGCGCGGAUUUGCUCGACGCAGCCCACCCAAGCCACACACACACGCACACACAAACACAAAAAAACGCCGGAGCGAGAGAGAGAGAGAGACAGAGAAGAGAGAAGGGGAAGAAGAAAAAGAAAAAAAAAGCUCCAAGAUGGAUUGGACUCGAUGAAAAUCCUGGUCGAAACUCACCAGACAUGACGACAGAGAUGAUGAGAAGUUUCCCUCCUCAAUGUCCCCUUUCUGCCUCAGCACAAAUGACCAAGAGCGAAAAUUGUGCAAAAGUCUCCAAAAAUGCCAACACAAAUCUGUUCGAGCUGCGUCAGAGCAUACAACAAUAUUGUAAUAUAGCUGGGAACAUAUUAGUUUGGGAUUUUCUCCCUCCAUGCCUACUAUUUAAAACCCCUAGAACUCAAUGAUUUGACAAUGAUUUGAUUGCGCGUUACUUUCGAUUUGAAUAUUCAGAGGCAAGCGAGUUUUAUCCAUUUUUCGGCAAAAUCCACUACAUUGGCACAUUAUAUAUGAAUCUUUUUAAUAUAUUAUGACUUGAUUUUCGAUUUUGAUCGCAAACAAAUGCUAUUUUUAUUCAUUUAGCCACCUUUUUGCCAGAUGACAGCAGCACACCCCCUCAUUAAGCACUACGGCAACAGUGCUUCUUGUGCGCAACUUAAACGGCGCAUCUCCACUUUAAGAGGUGAUCCCACAUUUACGGGGCUCACCCCACGCGUGGUCGACGCCAUCAGACAAAUUUAGGGCUUUAUUAUUGAAGAAAAGCGGAUAAAAGUGGGACUCGGGUGGGCGUGGCAAAGGGCAGCAGCCAUCUUUGGAUCCACGGGCCUUCAGCAAGUGCACAAAGAGCAGAACGAAGUCCACCUGUGACAGCUGAAGGGUCCACACUCAAAUAUUUCAAACACACAUUUAUGCUCCUUGAUUAUUGUAUACCAUACAACUACUUUCACAUUCAAUUAUUCAAUAAAAAUAAAGCCUUGUUGACGAAAUCCA